Molecule: ribosomal RNA, 253 nt
Filed under: uncultured bacterium
Lineage: Bacteria
Description: partial 16S ribosomal RNA
Rfam family: Bacterial small subunit ribosomal RNA
Source: RNAcentral
UACGUACCGUCCAAACGUUAUUCGGAAUUACUGGGCGUAAAGCGCACGUAGGCGGAUUUGUAAGUCAGGGGUGAAAUCCCGGGGCUCAACCCCGGAACUGCCUUUGAUACUGCGAAUCUCGAGUCCGGAAGAGGUGAGUGGAAUUCCUAGUGUAGAGGUGAAAUUCGUAGAUAUUAGGAAGAACACCAGUGGCGAAGGCGGCUCACUGGUCCGGUACUGACGCUGAGGUGCGAAAGCGUGGGGAGCAAACAGG